Molecule: unclassified non-coding RNA, 336 nt
Filed under: soil metagenome
Description: partial contains 5.8S ribosomal RNA, internal transcribed spacer 2, and large subunit ribosomal RNA
Rfam family: 5.8S ribosomal RNA (bases 1-120)
Source: RNAcentral
GAUGAAGAACGCAGCGAAAUGCGAUAAGUAAUGUGAAUUGCAGAAUUCAGUGAAUCAUCGAAUCUUUGAACGCACCUUGCGCCCUCUGGUAUUCCGGAGGGCAUGCCUGUUUGAGUGUCAUGAACACCUCACCCCCUCGGGUUUCCGAUCGGGUGGACUUGGGCGUCUGCCAGUGAAAUGGCUCGCCUUAAACGCAUUAGCGGUUGUUGACGUAAUAAGUUUCGUCUUGUCGACCGCUCCUAAUCUCCUUAGGGAUGUCUCUCGGGACACUUCAUGAUCUGACCUCAAAUCAGGUAGGACUACCCGCUGAACUUAAGCAUAUCAAUAAGCGGAGGA